Molecule: ribosomal RNA, 253 nt
Filed under: uncultured bacterium
Lineage: Bacteria
Description: partial 16S ribosomal RNA
Rfam family: Bacterial small subunit ribosomal RNA
Source: RNAcentral
UACGGAGGGUGCAAGCGUUAUCCGGAUUCACUGGGUUUAAAGGGUGCGUAGGUGGGCAGGUAAGUCAGUGGUGAAAUCUCCGGACUUAACUCGGAAACUGCCAUUGAUACUAUCUUUCUUGAAUACCGUGGAGGUCAGCGGAAUAUGUCAUGUAGCGGUGAAAUGCUUAGAUAUGACAUAGAACACCAAUUGCGAAGGCAGCUGGCUACACGAAUAUUGACACUGAUGCACGAAAGCGUGGGGAUCAAACAGG